UUGAAACACCAGCUCUCAUCUAAUCACCAAAGUUAAGCAAUGUUGAGCCUGGUCAGUAGAUGUGUGACCACUUAGGAAUACCAGGUGCUA
This is a non-coding RNA of Acanthosepion pharaonis, 90 nucleotides long. NCBI's taxonomy places the organism in Eukaryota, Metazoa, Mollusca, Cephalopoda, Sepiida, Sepiidae. The record is from the annotation of a GenBank genome assembly.